RNAcentral lists this ribosomal RNA (193 nucleotides) under uncultured Rhodopseudomonas sp. Its description in RNAcentral is "partial 16S ribosomal RNA". Lineage: Bacteria; Pseudomonadati; Pseudomonadota; Alphaproteobacteria; Hyphomicrobiales; Nitrobacteraceae. The record is from RNAcentral.
GGCUAUUCUUGCGGUACCGUCAUUAUCUUCCCGCACAAAAGAGCUUUACAACCCUAGGGCCUUCAUCACUCACGCGGCAUGGCUGGAUCAGGCUUGCGCCCAUUGUCCAAUAUCCCCCACUGCUGCCUCCCGUAGGCCCCCCGUGCCCCCGCCCCGCCCGCCGCGCGCGGCAGGGCGAGGGCGGGGGCACGGG